GAUGAACGCUGGCGGCGUGCCUAAUACAUGCAAGUCGAGCGAACGGACGAGAAGCUUGCUUCUCUGAUGUUAGCGGCGGACGGGUGAGUAACACGUGGAUAACCUACCUAUAAGACUGGGAUAACUUCGGGAAACCGGAGCUAAUACCGGAUAAUAUUUUGAACCGCAUGGUUCAAAAGUGAAAGACGGUCUUGCUGUCACUUAUAGAUGGAUCCGCGCUGCAUUAGCUAGUUGGUAAGGUAACGGCUUACCAAGGCAACGAUGCAUAGCCGACCUGAGAGGGUGAUCGGCCACACUGGAACUGAGACACGGUCCAGACUCCUACGGGAGGCAGCAGUAUGGAAUCUUCCGCAAUGGGCGAAAGCCUGACGGAGCAACGCCGCGUGAGUGAUGAAGGUCUUCGGAUCGUAAAACUCUGUUAUUAGGGAAGAACAUAUGUGUAAGUAACUGUGCACAUCUUGACGGUACCUAAUCAGAAAGCCAUGGCUAACUACGUG
RNAcentral lists this ribosomal RNA (497 nucleotides) under uncultured bacterium. Its description in RNAcentral is "partial 16S ribosomal RNA". It matches the Rfam family "Bacterial small subunit ribosomal RNA", at positions 28 to 507 of the family's 1533-position model. The record is from RNAcentral.